UUCUAAUGAUGAUUAGCCAUGCUAAUACUGAGAAUAUUUAGUCUGGAUGUGCUGGACUAAAUAUACCAUGAGUACAAGCUCUUUCUCAAUGAACCACUGAAGAAU
Molecule: small nucleolar RNA, 105 nt
Filed under: Lottia gigantea (owl limpet)
Lineage: Eukaryota; Metazoa; Mollusca; Gastropoda; Lottiidae
Source: RNAcentral